This 253-nucleotide ribosomal RNA is filed under the name uncultured bacterium. RNAcentral describes it as "partial 16S ribosomal RNA". It matches the Rfam family "Bacterial small subunit ribosomal RNA", at positions 524 to 776 of the family's 1533-position model. The record is from RNAcentral.
UACGAAGGGGGCUAGAGUUGCUCGGAAUUACUGGGAGUAAAGCGCACGUAGGCGGACUCUUAAGUCAGGGGUGAAAUCCCGGGGCUCAACCCCGGAACUGCCUUUGAUACUGUGAGUCUCGAGACCGGAAGAGGUGAGUGGAAAUCCUAGUGUAGAGGUGAAAUUCGUAGAUAUUAGGAAGAACACGAGUGGAGAAGGCGGCUCACUGGUCCGGAUCUGACGACGAGGUGUGAAAGCGUGGGGAGCAAACAGG